This is a long non-coding RNA of Etheostoma spectabile (orangethroat darter), 331 nucleotides long. RefSeq lists it as uncharacterized. The transcript has 4 exons. NCBI's taxonomy places the organism in Eukaryota, Metazoa, Chordata, Actinopteri, Perciformes, Percidae. The record is from RefSeq and is a predicted model, not a curated record.
AAAGAAGAAAUGUAUUUACUUAAAUUUUUUUUUCUUCAUAUUCAACAAUAAAAUGCUUUGACCAAACCAAGUUACAGGUUUAGGCAGCGAUAAUAAAGAAGCGUAAAGAUGAAGUUCAGACAACGAUAUACUUGGACUUCAUCAGAUAGUUUAUGUAAAAUAUAUAUUUCUUUUCUUAUUACCUAAAAUAACUCAUGUAUUAAUAGUGCCAUGUUGCAUAUCUUCUUUGGUAACACUUUACAAUGAUUGGCUUAAAGUCAUUUAUAAGCCAAUAGUUAAUAAAGAACCAAUCAUUUUAUAUGAUUGUCCUUUGUUGCCAUACCACACACAC